CCCGCGUAAUUUAAGCAUAUUAAUAAGCGGAGGAAAAGAAACUAACAAGGAUUUCCUUAGUAGCUGCGAGCGAACAGGAAAAAGCUCAGCAUAAAAUCUUGUAACUUAACAGUUAUCAAGAGAUGUUAUGUUUAGGGAGUUUCGUUUAUCCUAUAAUGUACAUUUAGUCCAAGUCCACCUUGAAUGGGGCAUUAUCCAUAGAGGGUGCCAGCCCCGUAGUGACAAAUGUAUACAAAUCAUUAUAGGUGAAACUUUCCUUAGAGUCGGGUUGCUUGUAAAUGCAGCUCUAAGUUGGUGGUAAACUCCAUCUAAAGCUAAAUAUAACCACGAGACCGAUAGCGAACAAGUACCAUGAGGGAAAGUUGAAAAGAACUUUGAAGAGAGAGUUCAAUAGUACGUGAAACCGUUUAGGGGUAAACGGGAGAAAUCCGAAAAUCUGAAGGAAGUGAUUCACGUAUUAUCUACAUAUUAUAUUAUACUUGAUUGAUGAUUAUUAAACUCCUUGCAUGCAAUUUAUUGUAUGUUAAGGGUUCCGUUUAAUGUCACAUUUCAUAUAUAAAUAAAUAUUAUGUGGUUUACCGCAUUUCAAACCUUCCUUAAAACAGAAAACGUCGCAACCC
RNAcentral lists this ribosomal RNA (620 nucleotides) under Elaunon bipartitus. Its description in RNAcentral is "eukaryotic LSU rRNA". It matches the Rfam family "Eukaryotic large subunit ribosomal RNA", at positions 24 to 634 of the family's 3401-position model. The record is from RNAcentral. Lineage: Eukaryota; Metazoa; Arthropoda; Insecta; Dermaptera; Forficulidae.